Non-coding RNA from Procambarus clarkii (red swamp crayfish), 2101 nucleotides. The record is from RefSeq and is a predicted model, not a curated record. Lineage: Eukaryota; Metazoa; Arthropoda; Malacostraca; Decapoda; Cambaridae.
UUAGUCAGCUGUCACGGGCUGCUUCCUGGGGGUGGAGGCCUGGUCGAGGACCGGGCCGCGGUGACACUAAAGCCCCGAAAUCAUCUCAAGAUAACCUCAAGAUAGGUGGCCAGAUGGCCCAGGUGAGCCAGGUGGCCCAAGUGGCCCAAGUGGCCAGGUGGCCAGGUGGCCCAGGUGGGCCAGGUGGCCAGGUGGCCAGGUGGCCCAGGUGGGCCAGGUGGCCAGGUGGCCAGGUGGCCCAGGUGGGCCAGGUGGCCCAAGUGGCCAGGUGGCCCAAGUGGCCAGGUGGGCCAGGUGGCCAGGUGGGCCAGGGUGGCCAGGUGGCCAGGUGGGCCAGGCGGGUCGAGUGGGGUAAACGGGCAUCAGGUGACCUUUUUGUUGAGAAAGAGUUGGCCGGUGAGACACCUGGAGCCAGCACCGCCUCUCAGUGCUUUCUCAUCGCUGGUGAAUACCGUCGCCUCCUCCUCCUGCUGCCGUCUGCUGCUGCCGUCUGCCUGCCUGUCUGCUGCUCCCUGCCCUCAUUUGACCGCUGGUGGGCAGCCCCUCGCCUCCAACUGGAGUCGGGUUGGUUGACGACAAGAUUUGGGUGAUUUCUGUCAGCGGCGGGCGGUGCUGUCAGUGUAGAACCGCGUGCUGGUGCGUGCUGACGCCCUCUGCUGACUUCCCGCCACGCUGACGACGGUGCUGUCAGUCUAGAGCCGGGUGCUGCUGGCCGCUCACGUCCCCCACACACUUACAAACCCCAAAAAAAACAAAUAUGAAGAUGUCCUGAUCUAAGGUUUCUCUCAUAAGUGGAUAAAAGUAAACUUCAGUGUUAAGUGGCCUGGUAGUGUCAAGUAACCGAUGUUAACACUUGAUCUGGCAUCUUAAGUGGCAUUAAGUGACAUAAAUCAAAGAUCGUUGUCUGUCGAUGUACUGUUCAGAAAGAUGGACUCAUACGUGUAAGGGACUUUGCGUUAGUGAUUGGAGUGUCUUGGAUGGACUCACACGUGUGAGGGUCUUUGGUUUCUGAGUGAUAGUAGUUUGAGUGUGUUGUUAGUCAAGAUGGGUCGGCCGUCCCGCACUGCCCUGGUCGCCACGUCCUACACCAGCCUGGACUUUGCCAACAUGACGGAGGCUAUAUACCGAGCCCCGAGGUCUACCUACGUCACACAUUAUGUGAGUACCCGCUUCUUGUUUUAUCUUGUGUUAUCUUGUGUGUCUUGUUACUCUGUGUCCUGUUUGUUGCCCUCUGUGUCAUGUUUAUUUCCCUAUGUAUCCAGUUUACUGGCCUCUGUGCCCUGCAUGUUGCCAUGUAUCCUAUUUGUUGCUUCCUGUAUCCUCUCUUGCUUGGGGUCCUUCCUAUUAUUAUAAUAGACCAUUGUUUAAUUAUUAUUAGUGUGUAAUAAAAAGUCGAUGGGUUGGUUAAUCCUUCACUGGUGUACGCGUGUUCAGUUUCCUCCCGGACAGGCCCCCAACUAAACAGUUGUGUUCAGACUAAUAUUCCCACGAGAGACUUAUUUCCUGCUUCUGCUCACCAGUCUCUCCACGCACAUACAUGGAUUCAGUGAGCCUAUAUUGGCAGGGCAAUCAGCCCCCUUAGACGUAUGCGGAACAUUUUUAACUUGUCUCAGGAACUCCACUAAUGUAUUGGCUUAACACCUGCCACAAAUAUUUUAGAGCAAAAUUAAUGAUUUAGGUCGGUGAGAAUUUUGUCAUCUCUUUAAUGUUACUCAACAAGAAACACGAGAACAAUAAUGAAGUUUGGGUGUUCAAUGUGCAAGGUGUGGGCGUAUAAGGUAAGGUUAGUUAUGAAGAGAAUGUGCAACACCUGUUUGAUUUCUCCAAGACUCUUUUUAGGGAAAUUUUGGUGGCAUUUCUCCCUUCAAUUUAACUAUUAUCCAAGUAACAUAAAUAGUUUACCUUAAUGACCAUUCGAGUUAAAAUUGUAACAUUAGAAUAAAGGAAAAAACGACAAGCCUAUUGGCCCAUACGAGGCCGCUUCUAUUUAUAUCCACUUAUAGUCAUUCAUAUAAGAAUGUCUAGCCUACGCUUGAAAAAAUCAUGUGAGCCCGCGUCUAGUAUGCUACCCGGUAAACUGAUAUGUAAAUCUAAAACUAUA